Long non-coding RNA from Ictalurus punctatus (channel catfish), 6367 nucleotides. RefSeq lists it as uncharacterized. The record is from RefSeq and is a predicted model, not a curated record. The transcript has 7 exons. NCBI's taxonomy places the organism in Eukaryota, Metazoa, Chordata, Actinopteri, Siluriformes, Ictaluridae.
UGAUUAGCUCCUUUUGUCUUUUUUUGUGUGUGCUUGUAGGUUGCUGCCCUCCCCCUUUUUAAAAAUAAAUAAAUAAAUAAAUGAUUCACUGGAAUAAAGUUGGUGUGACGUUGGACGUUUGAUAUUCGCGGAAAUUAAGGGACCGUCUCUAAAGUUACAUACGACAUUGGUAAACACGGUUCUAACUUCAAUAGCAUUUGAAGCGAAUGGCUUAGUCACACAACCAACAGUAAAAUGUUCAACUAGGUGUCCGCUAUAAUGCACACCUCUUAGAUUUCUGAUAUCUAUCAAAAUAAGCUAUGAAAUCAUAUGUAAAUUAGACAUGAAUUUCACUGCAGAAUGGGCCCAUACACAAAAUAUACCAUUAUUUAAAGCUCAAUAGCAUUUGAAGGGAAUGACUUACAGUCAAACAACCAACUGGAAAGUGUUCAACUAGGUGCCAGGUAUGAGAAACACCUUUUAUAUUUUUGAUAUAUAUUAAAAUAAGCUAUUAAAUCAUAUAUAAAUAUUGAACAUAUAAACAAAUAGAUAUAUAAAAAAAAAUUCAUGUAUUUAUUUAUUUUUCACACCAAAUUGUUGAGGACCCCGGGCGCCCCCUGGCGGCCCCCACUUUGAAAACCAGUGCAUCAGACUGCAAUCGGCAUCAUGGCCAGAUAUAAAAAGGGGAAACGUAAAAGAGAAAAUGACCUUUGGGCAAAAGGCUGGUGGCAGAAGUCAAACAGCUAAGGCAUUUCUUAGACAUGGCGUUGGAAAAGGAAAGGCAAAGUGGUCCACCCUAGCUGUCUAUAUUUUCUAUUCCAAUCCACCGAAUAAAAAAAUUGGCAGCAUGGCAGCGAACUGUUUGGACAGAGGACAGGAAAGGUGUUCGAGGACAGGUGCUUCAAACAGACAGAAGUUCUGAAUUGGGGUACUCUUUCCUGGACUCAUGUACUGGGAUAAAUUUGUACUCGAACUUGACAUGGACUCGAAAAUGUUUCAGAGUACAGUCGAGUCCGCCUCAUCAAAUAUGAUGAGGACAUUGAGGACAAUGAGGAUAUUGAUGAGAUGAGUAAAGGGCACAAUAAACUCAAUCAAACAAAGGAAUGAAGAGAUGAAGACUAUCCUUGUAACAGGGAAGAUGACAGGAACAGCACUGUUGAUGAAGAUGAGAAUGCUAAUAAUGAUGGCACAUGUUCAGGGCAGAUAAGCAGAUAAGCAGAAUGGAACAGAGGAAAGAAGGGACAAAGAUUAUUCUUGUGACAGGGAAGUUAAGGCUGGCGAAAGGAACAACACUGCAGAUGAAGAUGAGAAUAAUGAUGAGUCAGACACAGAAAACAAGACCAGGUCCAAAGAUUUUUGUAGUGUCCAUAACAACAAAAACCUGGCAAAAAAAAUAAAUAAAGCCACAUGCAGGCUCAACCCAGUUACAACAGCCCUGGGCCGAUGUCUUGUAUGAAGCAUUCAACAAAGUAAAUCCUUGCUGUGUCCUUUCAUUCAAGUAUCAACAUGUAAAAUGCAGGAAAAAUCGUAAAAAAAAAAAAGAACACCUUAUUUCAGGGCACUUGCCGUUUGUAUCUUUGAUGAUUGCUCAGCAAAAUACAAAUUUACAAUUCGAACAAAGCCCAAACCAUUCCAGAAGCAUAUUGACAUCCCUGUUGUGCGAUUGAGUGAUGUGACCCACAAGGAUAAAGAAUUGAAAUCCAGAAAUGCCAAAUUCACCAAAAGAGGAAACAUUGCAGCAGCAGUAGCAAAAGGAGUAAGCCAGCACUAUCAUUGAGAAACACACCACCAGAUGAGAUUUUGGCUGGCAACAUCUCCAGAUGCCUUACUAUGGAUGUCUUAAGAGUAAUAUCUAGUGAAAUCAGGAAAAGCACCAGACUCCAUGAUGAUGUUAUCAUGGAGAUGAUGCUCUGCCUGAAGAUCAUGAAGGAGUGCAGUGGAACUGCAUCACAAAUUGCAGGCUAUAUUCCACACUUACAAGUGGACCCAUUUAGUGUCCAUUUGUACACAGAUUGUGGUCUACGAAUAGUGGCAGAACAUUGGAAAAACUCACCCCCAGUCACAUUACAUCUAGAUGCUACAGGCAGUGUCAUGUGACGCAUCCCCAACCAAACCAAAAGAAUCCUUUAUUAUGCCUUUGUUCUACCUGGAAAGGGGAAGGAUACGCUACUCCUUCGUGUGUCUGAGUUGAUAUCAAACGAGCACUCAAUACCAACUCUCACGUCUUGGCUGAUGGAAACACUGAGACAACUGUGCCAGAUAAUGACACGGAAGGCCUUCCGUGUCAUAUGUCAUACCGAGUUUAGCUGGGCACUCAUUGGUAGUGUCCUCCUGGCCUUCAAUAAAGAAAGUGUCUCACCCUAUAUAAACAGAGCACAUCUAAUUGUCAGCCAAAAAGUGAAAAGUGCAGAUGCAGUUAAUUUCACAGUGCUCCACCUCUGUUCAUCCCACAUAAUAAAGGCUGUAACCCAAGGAUUUUCAAAGACAACUGGUGAGUAUGCUGUAAAAGAAUAUGCCGCCUACUGUUUUGGUCUUCUUCUUAACAGCACCACCCUACAAGAACCACUUUCAGGAUAUGUCUACGUUGCUCAUGUCAGUAAACAAUUCCAAUGCGGUUAUGGAAGCAAAAAACACACUGGACCAAAAAAUCCUGAAGUCCAAGCCUACUACUAUGUAUGAAACACUUCCAUGUAGAAGACAUGGAGAGGAGCAGCAACAUCAAGACUAUAUGUGGCAAAUCUCCCUUCACACGUUUAUUCAAUGGUGUUGUAGAGAAGACCAGGUGUACACAGACAGAGAGUGGCAAAAAAGAAUGAAUUCUACUGCCCAGGGAUCAUUAAUGUUCUCAUGAACACCUACAUGGGCAUUUUCCCCCUUUCGAGUGGCAUAUUGCUUGGGGACCUGAGCAGAUGCUCCAAAGAGAAUACUAAAGAAAUAAAAACAAGGGAAACAGAUUGCCAUGUAGAGCAGUGGUUCUCAAUAGUGCAGAAUCACAUACUACGCAGAAAAAAGUUCCUGCGGCCUGCAGAUUUCAUUACAAAGAUGUUUAACUCUCUGCAAAGAAGGUACACACAGCAUCAGAUGAUGCAUAGUCUUGAUAGUCUGUCUCAAGGAACAUCUCCAAAGCAACAGACCAUUGACCAACAAGAAGGGCUAUGGGCCAAGAGAUCACAAACUCAAAGACCAUUGUUCAAGCAUCGUUCAAAGUAUUUUGAUCCACCAGAAGCAGUGCCCCAACCAAAAAGACACAAGACAAAGCAAACAUCUGAGGAUCAUUCAGAGGACACAUCAGUCCAGAUCCAAGCUCUGUGGUCUAAGAAAGAAUGUGAGAUAGUCAUUGCCGUUACACAGUCAAAGGACAAAAAAAGGUCUUAUAUCCUGCAUCAUUCAGAGCUGAAAACACUCCAGCCACAUAAAUGGCUGGUGGGGGAGACAAUCCAAUGCUAAUUUCAAGUGGUGGUGAAUAACAGAGACCAGGGACACAAGAUUUUUAUACUAGAUCAUUACACAGCAAGUGUUAUACUUCAUGGAGAACGAGAUGAAGUACGGAGAAACAGUCUCUCAAAGGUAAAGAUUAUCUUUAUCUUUAAUUAUCUUUAAUAAUUGAAUUCAAUAAAAUUUUAUUUAUAUAGCGCUUUUAACAAUGGAUAUUGUCUCAAAGCAGCUUUACAGAAGCAAACACAGCAUACAGAUUUUAAGUGUAUCAAUUUAUCCAUAAUAGUUUAAGACAGUUACAUAACAAUGAAAUGUCAUAAGUGUUUUAUUUUAUUAAAAUUUUUUAAUUUCACGUGAACUUUGAUGACUAUGAGGGAAUGAUAAGUUUCCUGAAUGUCAACGGGAAUCAUUGGAUAUUUUUGGUGAACGCAUUUUAUAGUCCUUUUUUAAUAUACAUGAGACACUGUUAUAUUACUCUAUUCUAUAGAGGAUGUUCAUAAUUUGGUUGGCUUGAAAAAUCACAUUGAAUAAAUGUCCAGAUGAGCCAAGACUAUUCAAACACCAACCAUCAAAAUUCAAAUACAAACUAACCCGCAGCUGCGGGGGUUUCCUCCGGGUUCUCCGGUUUCCUCCCCCAGUCCAAAGACAUGCAUGGUAGACUGAUUGGCAUGUCCAAAUUGUCUGUAGUGUAUGAAUGGUUGUGUGAGUGUGUAUGUGAUUUUGCCCUGUGAUGGACUGGCACCCUGUCCAGGGUGUACCCCAACUUGUGCCCGAUGCUCCCUGGGAUAGGCUCCAGGUUUCCCAUUGACCCUGAAAAGGAUAAAGCUGUAUAGAAGAUGGAUAGAUGGAUGGACUAACCCGUACAAGGCCAUAUGCUUUUCACUACACCACACACAAGAGUCUGUACUAGUUGAAUGUAAGUAUAAAUGAAUUAAUGAAUUAAUUAAUUCAUUCAUUCAUUCAUUAAUCCAUCCAUCCAUAAUUUUAACUUUCAGGCCAGACUUUAAAACCAACCUGAAAGUUUUUAUACAAAACUUUGUUUUGUAGUUUCAUUCUAGUUUCAUCUGUUUUUAUUUAUCUUACACAGUAUCUCCAUGCAACAUCCAGCCAGGUGUUUGUGGUAGACCCAGCAGGACAUGAUGAAGAAGCAAAAUCCAUGCAUGCAGCCACUAGAUUUCAGUAAUAUUUUUUAGCUUGUUAUAUAUUGUACUUACAAAGAUAGGUUACAAAUUAGACAAAAAGCAUGACUGUGUGAAGAGGCCCACUUCUUUUUGAUGUGUUUUCUUGUCACAGGGUAUUGAACGGUGAAUGAUAUGCUGUGUCCUUUUCUAUCUUUAGUAAAUUAAACAAAAAAUUAGAUUUUGGACCAAACUGUAUCAGCUUGAAAAUGUAAAAAUUUAGAAAUAUAUCUUGAAAAAACAGUUCUAUUCCUCCUGUUGGUGUUCCAGAGACUUGGCAUAGCUCUUGCAGAUCUCUGGAUCCUUAACAAUUAUUUUCGUAAGAAUAAAAUGACAGGCUUAGAGUCUUUUACAUUGUGUAGGUAUACUAGUCUUCUCAUAAGGUUUUUUUUAAAAUGCUGUCAAAUCCUUACAAUAAUUUUACUUAUUAACUUUUACUAUAAGUAGCAAGCAAUUCACAAUAAUUGUUAAGUGUAAAGUGAGUGAGAUAUGUAAAGACAAUAAUUACUAUAUACUACAUAUAUAGGAAAUUAGUAGUAAUAGUAAUAAUGUUUUAAUGCUUAAUGUUAUCCUGUCAAUCAUUUUGAUUCGCUUAACACACUUUUUUCCAAACAUUUUGUGUUUUAAGCACUAAAGGAAAAUGGAUAAUGUUGCCUUUCUAAUAAUAUCAUUAUAUUUAUAUGGCCUGUAAAGAGAACGGAGAGCACAAUGCAGAACAUUCGUUUAAAUUGACUAACAAAGUGGGUCUCUUAAAUAAAAAAGAUUCAUAACAACAUUUAUUGUUUGUAUUUUGUACUAAUAUUUGGUAAAAAAAAAAAAAAAUAUGGUUAAUAAGAUGAACCUUAAAGUAGUUUAAAUCACAAGAAUGUGUUUUUAUUGGUUUGGGGGCUUUUUUGCUUUAUUGUGGUAGGGAUAGUAGAGAAUUGACAAGGCAAUAUAGGAUAGAAGAGUGGGGGUGUGAACGGGAAAAUACCCUACGAGCUGGAAAACAAACUCUUCACGGUAGGAGAGAAGCAAUUGAUUUGUCACCUUUCUCUACAUUUAGACUCAACAAGAUUUAACAAAUAAAUAGGUUUUUACAUGAACAAUGUUCAUGAUUUUCUUUAUUUACACUGCCUAGAGAGUACUUCAAAAUGAGAAGAAACUGUCUUAGUAAAUGUGACUGGGUGGACAUAAAAUGGAAUGGAGGACAAAUUAACCAUUCCACACAACAGGACUGGUACAGCUGUGGAGUGUUUGUCAUGCAGAUGGCAAAAGAAGUUGUUGGUGCGUUUCCAAAUAUCCCUUGCCAUUUGACUAUAAACUCAUCCAAGGAGCACAUGGAACAUUUGCUACUGACAAUGGCAGAGGAACUUCUGAAAGCCUCAGUAUUCAAGAGGGGACAUUACUGCUCAUUAUGUGCAGCCUCAAAACCCCUGGGUGGUGAUGCAAAAACAUUUUGGAUUGAAUAUCACUGCUGCAAGAGGUGGUUUCAUGUGGCAUGCCUUUCUAUGUCAGAGAAUCAGUUCAAAAGGGCUCAAAAGGUUGACUGGAAGUGCUGCCUAUGUAAAUAAUUUUUGAUUCCUUUGGCUCCCAUCCACAAACUAAACAUGUACAUAAAUAAAUAUAAAGAAAACAAAUAAAAAUGUUUGAAAUAUUAAAACAUUCGUGGAUCAUCAUUUCUUUUAAUUAUUUCUUUUUAUUUUUAAUUUUUUUAUUAUGAUCAUUUAAUUAUUAAUAGGACGUCUAUUUUUUUAAGAAAACCAUUCAAUCCAGUACGAGUCAUUUUAACCCCC